This 387-nucleotide ribosomal RNA is filed under the name uncultured bacterium. Its description in RNAcentral is "bacterial SSU rRNA". It matches the Rfam family "Archaeal small subunit ribosomal RNA", at positions 339 to 726 of the family's 1478-position model. The record is from RNAcentral.
GCGCGAAAACUUUACAAUGCUGGCAACAGCGAUAAGGGAACCUCGAGUGCCAGGUUACAAAUCUGGCUGUCGAGAUGCCUAAAAAGCAUUUCAUAGCAAGGGCCGGGCAAGACCGGUGCCAGCCGCCGCGGUAACACCGGCGGCUCGAGUGGUAACCGUUAUUAUUGGGUCUAAAGGGUCUGUAGCCGGCCGGAUAAGUCUCUUGAGAAAUCUGGCAGCUUAACUGUCAGGCUUUCAGGAGAUACUGUCUGGCUCGAGGCCGGGAGAGGUGAGAGGUACUUCAGGGGUAGGGGUGAAAUCUUGUAAUCCUUGAAGGACCACCAGUGGCGAAGGCGUCUCACCAGAACGGACCUGACGGUAAGGGACGAAAGCUAAGGGCACGAACCG